This 282-nucleotide long non-coding RNA is filed under the name Sarcophilus harrisii (Tasmanian devil). RNAcentral describes it as "lncRNA (ENSSHAG00000026562.1)". Lineage: Eukaryota; Metazoa; Chordata; Mammalia; Dasyuromorphia; Dasyuridae. The record is from RNAcentral.
GGACUCUUCAUUAAGUCUAGUGUCACCCAGCUAUCAUGUACCAGAAACAAGACUUGAAAUCAGGUCUAACUCCAAGGAAUUGCUCUAAGGUUAAAUGACCUGCUCCCAAUCAUAGUUAUCAUCAAAGACAUGACUGACACCAGAUCUCAUCCAAGGCUGCCCCACACUAAACUUCUUUUCAGCAGAUGAGAACAGUUUUCUUCAUUCUGUUUUUCCUGAAUAAAACAGCAUAAGCAAACCAUUCAUGUUGUGUUCAAACUAUUCCCUAAUUUAUCAAUUGCA